This 296-nucleotide unclassified non-coding RNA is filed under the name fungal sp. Its description in RNAcentral is "partial internal transcribed spacer region". The stretch from base 1 to 46 matches the Rfam family "Eukaryotic small subunit ribosomal RNA", at positions 1786 to 1831 of the family's 1831-position model. Lineage: Eukaryota; Fungi. The record is from RNAcentral.
AAGUCGUAACAAGGUCUCCGUAGGUGAACCUGCGGAGGGAUCAUUGUGGGAAACCAAAACAAAAAAAAGGAGAAAUCCUUUUUUGAGGGGGGAAUAUGGCAACAACAAUUGACAUCCAUGAUAUAUGGGGUUGGUUGGUUGUUGUUGUUAUAUUUUCUCUUCAAACAAACAAACAAAUAAUCACAACCAAAGAAAACAGAGAGAUUGGAUUGGAUUAGAAAAAGUGUUUGCCUGAUAAUUUGAUUGAGAUAUGGAAAACAGUAUACAACUUUCAACAACGGAUCUCUUGGCUCUCA